UGGCUCAGGAUGAACGCUAGCGACAGGCCUAACACAUGCAAGUCGAGGGGCAGCGCGGAGUAGCAAUACUUGGCGGCGACCGGCGCACGGGUGAGUAACACGUAUGCAACCAACCCAUAACAGGGGGAUAACCCGGAGAAAUCCGGACUAAUACCGCAUAAGACCACGAUAUCGCAUGAUAUAGAGGUCAAAUAUUUAUAGGUUAUGGGCGGGCAUGCGUCUGAUUAGCUGGUUGGCGGGGUAACGGCCACCAAGGCAUCGAUCAGUAGGGGUUCUGAGAGGAAGGUCCCCCACAUUGGAACUGAGACACGGUCCAAACUCCUACGGGAGGCAGCAGUGAGGAAUAUUGGUCAAUGGGCGAAAGCCUGAACCAGCCAUGUCGCGUGAAGGAAUGAAGGUCCUAUGGAUUGUAAACUUCUUUUGCAGGAGGGUAAAGUGAGCUACGUGUAGUUCAUUGCAAGUACCCUGCGAAUAAGCAUCGGCUAACUCCGUGCCAGCCGCUGC
This 504-nucleotide ribosomal RNA is filed under the name uncultured bacterium. RNAcentral describes it as "bacterial SSU rRNA". It matches the Rfam family "Bacterial small subunit ribosomal RNA", at positions 20 to 518 of the family's 1533-position model. The record is from RNAcentral.